This is a non-coding RNA of Salmo salar (Atlantic salmon), 1297 nucleotides long. The record is from RefSeq and is a predicted model, not a curated record. Lineage: Eukaryota; Metazoa; Chordata; Actinopteri; Salmoniformes; Salmonidae.
UUGUGUUCCCAGUCAAAUCCUGUCUUGCCCUCAGCAGAAAAUUUGAGCUCUUCUCCAACACCCUCCAUCCAUGAUGAGCCUGUGUCCUGAAGUCAAGCCUCUGAAGACAUCAACCCCUGUCCUGCGGAGUCCUGAAGUCAAGCAACUAAAGUCAUCAACCCCUGUCUUGUCGUGUCCUGAAGUCAAGCCUCUGAAGACAUCAACCCCUGUCCUGUCCUGAAGUCAAGCCACUGAAGACAUCAACCCCUGUCCUGUCCUGAAGUCAAGCCACUGAAGACAUCAAUCCCUGUCGUGUCCUGAUGUCAAGCCUCCGAAGACAUCAACCCCUGUCCUGUCGUUUCCUGAUCUCUUCCCAACACAGUCCAAACACUGAUGUUUGGAUAAAUACCAUAUCAAUUCCUGUCCUGCCCUCAGCGGAAGAGUUGAGCUCUUCUCCAACACCCUCCAUCCAUGACGAGCCUGUCUUGCACGGCUACUUCCUGACCUUGUCCCAUCCCCCAUUUUUUAACUCAUGUGAUCCCUCCCCUCUCAACACCGAGCCUGUCAGAAUUGAGUGCCUAUCUCUCUCCCAGCACUCGUACUGGUCAGACACCAAAGGAUAUCCUGUACCCCGCAGCAGCGUCCAUGGUCAACUUGGACAGUCUGUUCAUACAGUACCACCUGGUAAAACCUGAUCCCCCAACAUCUGUCCAUGCAUUACCACCUGGUAAAACCUGAUCCCCCAACAUCUGUCCAUGCAUUACCACCUGGUAAAACCUGAUCCCCAACAUCUGUCCAUGCAUUACCAACUGCUAAAACCUGAUCCCCCAACAUCUGUCCAUGCAUUACCACCUGGUAAAACCUGAUCCCUCAACAUCUGUCCAUGCAUUACCAACUGCUAAAGCCUGAUCCCCCAACAUCUGUCCAUGCAUUACCACCUGCUAAAACCUGAUCCCCCAACAUCUGUCUAUACAUUACCACCUGCUAAAACCUGAUCCACAACAUCUGUCCAUACAGUACCACCUGCUAAAAUCUGAUCCCCCAACAUCUGUCCAUGCAUUACCACCUGCUAAAACCUGAUCCCCCAACAUCUGUCCAUGCAUUACCACCUGCUAAACUUGAUCCCCCAACAUCUGUCCAUACAUUACCACCUGCUAAAACCUGAUCCCCCAACAUCUGUCCAUACAUUACCACCUGCUAAAACCUGAUCCCCCAACAUCUGUCCAUUCAUUACCACCUGCUAAAACCUGAUCCCCCAACAUCUGUCCAUACAGUACAACAUGCUAACUUGUGAAAAAUAAAGACUCAUUGUACCUUG